Molecule: ribosomal RNA, 398 nt
Filed under: Azospirillum sp. B506
Lineage: Bacteria; Pseudomonadati; Pseudomonadota; Alphaproteobacteria; Rhodospirillales; Azospirillaceae
Description: bacterial LSU rRNA
Rfam family: Bacterial large subunit ribosomal RNA
Source: RNAcentral
CGUUUGGCACCUCGAUGUCGGCUCAUCACAUCCGGGGCUGGAGCAGGUCCCAAGGGUUCGGCUGUUCGCCGAUUAAAGUGGUACGUGAGCUGGGUUUAGAACGUCGUGAGACAGUUCGGUCCCUAUCUGCCGUGGGUGUCGGAGUUUUGCGAGGAUCUGUCCCUAGUACGAGAGGACCGGGAUGGACAUACCUCUGGUGCACCGGUUGUCACGCCAGUGGCAUGGCCGGGUAGCUAAGUAUGGACGGGAUAACCGCUGAAAGCAUCUAAGCGGGAAACCCACCUCUAAACCAGAGCUCCCUUGAGAGCCGUGACAGACCAUCACGUCGAUAGGAGGCAUGUGGACGGGCAGCAAUGUCUGAAGCUAAGCCUUACUAAUCGCUCGAUCGGCUUGAUCUC